Molecule: non-coding RNA, 294 nt
Organism: Salmo salar (Atlantic salmon)
Lineage: Eukaryota; Metazoa; Chordata; Actinopteri; Salmoniformes; Salmonidae
Source: the annotation of a RefSeq genome assembly
AUGGUAUGUGGAGAUAGUGUGACUCCUGACAAGGAGGAGUACACCCCCACUGAGGGAUCAUCAGUGUCUCUGAGCUGGACAUAUGAAACAAGCAGCAGUAUCAGCUACCUUUACUGGUACCAACAAUACCCUAACCAUGCACCUGAGUACCUACUGUUUAAUCUAACUGCACUUGCAUGCUACUCCUCCAUACCCACGACUGUCUGUAAACUAAAUGAUGAGAGAACCCAUGUGGACCUGGAGAUCUCCUCUGCUGAAGUGACACAUUCUGCUCUGUACUACUGUGCCCUGUAG